GACGUAGGGGGCGAGCGUUGUCCGGAUUUAUUGGGCGUAAAGCGUGCGCAGGCGGUUAUGUAAGACAGGUGUGAAAUCCCCGGGCUUAACCUGGGAACUGCAUUUGUGACUGCAUAGCUAGAGUACGGUAGGGGGGGAUGGAAUUCCGCGUGUAGCAGUGAAAUGCGUAGAUAUGCGGAGGAACACCGAUGGCGAAGGCAAUCCCCUGGACCUGUACUGACGCUCAUGCACGAAAGCGUGGGGAGCGAACGGG
This 253-nucleotide ribosomal RNA is filed under the name uncultured bacterium. RNAcentral describes it as "partial 16S ribosomal RNA". It matches the Rfam family "Bacterial small subunit ribosomal RNA", at positions 524 to 776 of the family's 1533-position model. The record is from RNAcentral.